AUGUUGUAUGAAAAGAGAGAAGGUUAGCACUCCCCUUGACAAGGAUGGAAGAGGCCCUCAGGCCUGACAACACACAUACAGUUAAGGCAUUGCCACCUACUUCUUGAUAUCUAACCAUCAUUUUUU
Molecule: small nuclear RNA, 126 nt
Organism: Otolemur garnettii (small-eared galago)
Lineage: Eukaryota; Metazoa; Chordata; Mammalia; Primates; Galagidae
Source: Ensembl